This 1326-nucleotide ribosomal RNA is filed under the name uncultured bacterium. RNAcentral describes it as "bacterial SSU rRNA". It matches the Rfam family "Bacterial small subunit ribosomal RNA", at positions 28 to 1381 of the family's 1533-position model. The record is from RNAcentral.
GAUGAACGCUGGCGGCGUGCCUAAUACAUGCAAGUCGAGCGCCCCUUUAAGAGGUGACAAUCAACGAUUGUCGGUUCCUAUGGGGAGCGGCGGACGGCUGAGUAACACGUGGGAACCUGCCCCAAAGUGAGGGGUAACGCACCGAAAGGUGUGCUAAUACCGCAUAUGAUCUUCGGAUUAAAGCUUUAUGCGCUUUGGGAGGGGCCUGCGUCCUAUUAGAUAGUUGGUGAGGUAAAGGCUCACCAAGUCAACGAUGGGUAGCUGGUCUGAGAGGAUGACCAGCCAGACUGGAACUGAGACACGGUCCAGACUCCUACGGGAGGCAGCAGUAAGGAAUCUUCCACAAUGGGCGAAAGCCUGAUGGAGCAACGCCGCGUGCAGGAUGAAGGCCCUCGGGUCGUAAACUGCUUUUAUGAGUGAAGAAUAUGACGGUAACUCAUGAAUAAGGGUCGGCUAACUACGUGCCAGCAGCCGCGGUCAUACGUAGGACCCAAGCGUUAUCCGGAGUGACUGGGCGUAAAGAGUUGCGUAGGUGGCUUGUAAAGCAAAUAGUGAAAUCUGGUGGCUCAACCAUUCAGGCUAUUAUUUGAACUCACAAGCUCGAGAACAGCAGAGGUAACUGGAAUUUCUGAAGUAGGGGUAAUAUCCGUAGAUAUCAGAAGGAACACCAAUGGCGUAGGCAGGUUACUGGGCUGUUUCUGACACUGAGGCACGAAAGCGUGGGGAGCGAACCGGAUUAGAUACCCGGGUAGUCCACGCCGUAAACGAUGGAUACUAGCUGUUGGAGGUAUCGACCCCUUCAGUAGCGAAGCUAACGCGUUAAGUAUCCCGCCUGUGGAGUACGGUCGCAAGACUAAAACAUAAAGGAAUUGACGGGGACCCGCACAAGCGGUGGAUCAUGUUCUUUAAUUCGAUGCUAAACGAAGAACCUUACCAGGGCUUGACAUCCCGAGAAUUACUCCGAAAGGAGUGAGUGCUUUAUUGAACUCGGUGACAGAUGAUGCAUGGCCGUCGUCAGCUCGUGUCGUGAGAUGUUUGGUUAAGUCCAUCAACGAGCGCAACCCUUGUGAUUAGUUGUAUUUUUCUAAUCAUACUGCCCCGGAAACGGGGAGGAAGGAGGGGAUGAGGCCAGGUCAGUAUUUCUCUUACGUCCUGGGCUAGAAACGUGAUACAAUGGCAAGUACAAUGCGCAGCGAAGCCGCGAGGUGAAGCAAAUCGCACCAAAGCUUGUCCCAGUUCGGAUUGGAGGCUGAAACUCGCCUCCAUGAAGUCGGAAUCGCUAGUAAUCGCAAGUCAGCAAAUUGCGGUGAAUACGUUCCCGGGUCU